This 305-nucleotide ribosomal RNA is filed under the name Babesia cf. microti. RNAcentral's name for it is "SSU rRNA". It matches the Rfam family "Eukaryotic small subunit ribosomal RNA", at positions 459 to 784 of the family's 1831-position model. The record is from RNAcentral. Lineage: Eukaryota; Apicomplexa; Aconoidasida; Piroplasmida; Babesiidae.
UUGAGGUAGUGACAAGAAAUAACAAUACAGGGCUUAUAGUCUUGUAAUUGGAAUGAUGGGAAUCUAAACCCUUCCCAGAGUAUCAAUUGGAGGGCAAGUCUGGUGCCAGCAGCCGCGGUAAUUCCAGCUCCAAUAGCGUAUAUUAAAGUUGUUGCAGUUAAGAAGCUCGUAGUUGAAUUUCUGCCUUAUCAUUAAUUUCGCUUCCGAACGUAAUUUUAUUGAUUUGGCAUCUUCUGGAUUAUAUAUUAUUUUUAAUAUAUUUUUCCAGUAUUUUACUUUGAGAAAACUAGAGUGUUUCAAACAGG